CACGUGAGGCCUCCGUGGCGACCUGACCCCGGCAGAGGGUGCUGGCGCUUCCUGCUGGACGGAGGGAGUUUCUGCAAUCAGAAUUAUCUUUUCAGGACAAAGCUUCGACCUGAGACCUUUCCAAGAAGUCUUAAAUUGAGCACAUUUACAAGAUGGAUGGACACAGUAAUGACAGAGACAGGAGGCAGCCAAGAGUCUCCCAUUGAAACCCCUCCUUCAAGCCUAAAGCAGUCUGAAGGCUGAGAAACCAGACUGCUGGUCUGGAUGAAGCCUGCCUUUUCCCAGCCGAUUCUGAAUAAUACCCACCUGCGCACUGGGAGGACUGGGUGAAGCCUCAGGAAGUUCACGCUAUUUGCAGUGGUGAGGAUCCUGGCCGCUCCUGUUCCUGUGUGGUGACCUGGGAUUCAAUCUUUGAGGGGGAAAACCUGCUAGAAGGACUCUC
This 442-nucleotide long non-coding RNA is filed under the name Piliocolobus tephrosceles (Ugandan red Colobus). RNAcentral describes it as "lncRNA (ENSPTEG00000015933.1)". The record is from RNAcentral. Lineage: Eukaryota; Metazoa; Chordata; Mammalia; Primates; Cercopithecidae.